GGGGGGGGUGGGAGGGGGUGGGGGUGGAGUUUGGGGGUGGGGGACUUGCUUCCUGGUGUUGGAGGAGGAAGGAGCUUGUUCAGCCCAGUCUGGAGUGGCAUGCUCUUCUUGGUUCAGCUUGAAGAUUCAGGCCCAGUUGCUUCUGAAGAUAAGGAAGCCAAGAGUCAAGGAGGUUAUGUGACUUAUCAACGAUCACAGAGACAGGAAAGAAAAAAAAAGGCAAGAACAUGGUCAUCUGUACUCAAGGAGCUCACAUUUUAAUGAGGGAAACCACAUGCAAAACAUACAAAAAUGAGUUAAACACAGAGAUAAGAAACUAAGGCAGACAGAGGACAAGUGACAUCCCCUAGAUCACAGAGCUGAUGUCUGAGACAAGAUUCAAACUCUGAUAUUCCUGACUCCAAAUCUAAUACUCUAUAUACUACAACACUGAGCUAUGUAGCAUAAACAUUAUUAGCCUCAGAUCAAAGAAAACAAAUCAGAAUAGCCUUUGGAUCAAUAACAAAAAGAUUUUUAAAUGCUUUUUUCAUACUUAAAGGUUUUUAAAUUGAUAAACACUUUUUGUAAUAAA
This 571-nucleotide long non-coding RNA is filed under the name Monodelphis domestica (gray short-tailed opossum). RNAcentral's name for it is "lncRNA (ENSMODG00000039732.1)". The record is from RNAcentral. Lineage: Eukaryota; Metazoa; Chordata; Mammalia; Didelphimorphia; Didelphidae.